CCUACGGGGUGCAGCAGUGGGGAAUAUUGGGCAAUGGAGGCAACUCUGACCCAGCAACGCCGCGUGAAUGAUGAAGGUCUUCGGAUUGUAAGUUUUGUUAUGGGGGGUGAAAACAAUGACCGUACCCCAAUUGCAAGCCCCGGCCAACUACGUGCCAGCCGCCGCGGUAAUACGUAGGUGGCAAGCGUUAUCCGGAAUUACUGGGCGUAAAGGGUGCGUAGGUGGGUUAGUAAGUUGGCGGUGUAAUUCCGGGGCUCAACCUCGGCGCUACCGCCAAAACUAUUAGACUAGAGUGCAGGAGGGGUAAGUGGAAUUCCUAGUGUAGCGGUGGAAUGCGUAGAUAUUAGGAGGAACAUCAGGGGCGAAGGCGACUUACUGGACUGUAACUGACACUGAGGCACGAAAGCGUGGGGAGCAAACAGGAUUAGAUACCCUUGUAGUC
This 442-nucleotide ribosomal RNA is filed under the name uncultured bacterium. RNAcentral's name for it is "partial 16S ribosomal RNA". It matches the Rfam family "Bacterial small subunit ribosomal RNA", at positions 338 to 795 of the family's 1533-position model. The record is from RNAcentral.